GACGAACGCUGGCGGCGUGCCUAAUACAUGCAAGUCGAGCGGACUUUCAAGAAGCUUGCUUUUUGAAAGUUAGCGGCGGACGGGUGAGUAACACGUGGGCAACCUGCCUGUAAGACGGGGAUAACUCCGGGGAACCGGGGCUAAUACCGGAUAAUAUCUUUCUUCGCAUGAAGGAAGGUUGAAAGGCGGCGCAAGCUGCCGCUUGCAGAUGGGCUCGCGGCGCAUUAGCUAGUUGGUGAGGUAACGGCUCACCAAAGCGACGAUGCGUAGCCGACCUGAGAGGGUGAUCGGCCACACUGGGACUGAGACACGGCCCAGACUCCUACGGGAGGCAGCAGUAGGGAAUCUUCCGCAAUGGACGAAAGUCUGACGGAGCAACGCCGCGUGGGCGAAGAAGGUCUUCGGAUCGUAAAGCUCUGUUGUCAGGGAAGAACAAGUACCGUUCGAAUAGGGCGGUACCUUGACGGUACCUGACCAGAAAGCCACGGCUAACUACGUGCCAGCCGCCGCAGUAA
This 515-nucleotide ribosomal RNA is filed under the name uncultured bacterium. RNAcentral's name for it is "partial 16S ribosomal RNA". It matches the Rfam family "Bacterial small subunit ribosomal RNA", at positions 28 to 523 of the family's 1533-position model. The record is from RNAcentral.